UACGUAGGGUGCGAGCGUUAAUCGGAAUUACUGGGCGUAAAGCGUGCGCAGGCGGUUUUGUAAGACAGACGUGAAAUCCCCGGGCUUAACCUGGGAACUGCGUUUGUGACUGCAAGGCUAGAGUAUGGCAGAGGGGGGUAGAAUUCCACGUGUAGCAGUGAAAUGCGUAGAUAUGUGGAGGAAUACCGAUGGCGAAGGCAGCCCCCUGGGUCAAUACUGACGCUCAUGCACGAAAGCGUGGGGAGCAAACAGGAUUAGAUACCCUGGUAGUCCACGCCCUAAACGAUGUCAACUAGGUGUUGGAGGAGGAGACUUCUUUAGUACCGCAGCUAACGCGUGAAGUUGACCGCCUGGGGAGUACGGCCGCAAGGUUGAA
RNAcentral lists this ribosomal RNA (376 nucleotides) under uncultured bacterium. RNAcentral's name for it is "bacterial SSU rRNA". It matches the Rfam family "Bacterial small subunit ribosomal RNA", at positions 524 to 898 of the family's 1533-position model. The record is from RNAcentral.